RNAcentral lists this ribosomal RNA (1523 nucleotides) under uncultured Planctomycetales bacterium. RNAcentral's name for it is "16S ribosomal RNA". It matches the Rfam family "Bacterial small subunit ribosomal RNA". Lineage: Bacteria; Pseudomonadati; Planctomycetota; Planctomycetia; Planctomycetales. The record is from RNAcentral.
CAUGCAAGUCGAACGAGGAUAUAUCCUUCGGGAUAUAAGCCGAGUGGCACAAGGGUGAGCAAUGCAUAGAUUACCUACCUUUAGGAUAGGGGCAACUUUGUGAAAACGGAGCUAAUACUUAAUAAUACAAAAGAAAAUAAUUUUCUUUUGUCAAAGGGAGGGUAGCAAUACCUUUCGCCUCGAGAGGGGUUUAUGUCCUAUCAGCUUGUUGGUGGGGUAAUAGCCUAUCAAGGCGAAGACGGGUAGCCGGUUUAAGAGGAUGGUCGGCCACACUGGGACUGAGACACUGCCCAGACUUCUACGGAAGGCUGCAGUCGAGAAUCUUUCGCAAUGCCCGAAAGGGUGACGAAGCGACGCCGCGUGGGUGAAGAAGGCCUUCGGGUUGUAAAGCCCUGUCAGGAGUUAUGAAAUGUAAGUGCGCUAAUAACGUGCUUAUUUGACAAAGGCUCCAAAGGAAGCCACGGCUAACUCUGUGCCAGCAGCCGCGGUAAUACAGAGGUGGCGAGCGUUGUUCGGAAUUAUUGGGCGUAAAGAGCACGUAGGUGGGUUUGCAAGUCAGAUGUGAAAGCCUUCUGUUCAACGGAAGAAUUGUAUCUGAAACUGCUAGUCUUGAGUAUAGGAGGGGAGAAUGGAACUUCUGGUGGAGCGGUGAAAUGCGUAGAUGUCAGAAGGAACGCCGGCGGCGAAAGCGAUUCUCUGGCCUAUUACUGACACUCAGUGUGCGAAAGCUAGGGGAGCGAACGGGAUUAGAUACCCCGGUAGUCCUAGCCGUAAACGAUGGGCACUAAGUAGAGGGGAUUACCUAUAUUCUCUCUGCCGUAGCUAACGCAUUAAGUGCCCCGCCUGGGGAGUACGGCCGCAAGGCUAAAACUCAAAAGAAUUGACGGGGGGCUCGCACAAGCGGUGGAGCAUGUGGCUUAAUUCGAUGCAACGCGAAAAACCUUACCGGGGGCUUGACAUGAUAGAAGUAGGAACCUGAAAGGGGGACGAACGGUAUCCAGUCCGUAGCUAUUACAGGUGUUGCAUGGCUGUCGUCAGCUCGUGUCGUGAGACGUGGGUUAAGUCCCCUAACGAGCGAAACCCUUGUUUUUAGUUACCAGCGGGUUAUGCCGGGUACUCUAGAAAGACUGCCGUCGUCAAGACGGAGGAAGGUGGGGAUGACGUCAAGUCAUCAUGGCCCUUAUGCCCCGGGCUGCACACGUGCUACAAUGGUCGGUACAGACGGAAGCGAAGCCGAGAGGUGAAGCGAAUCCUAAAAAGCCGAUCUCAGUUCGGAUUGGAGGGCUGAAAUUCGCCUCCAUGAAGUUGGAAUCGCUAGUAAUCGCGGAUCAGCAAUGUCGCGGUGAAUAUGUUCCCGAGCCUUGUACACACCGCCCGUCAAGCCACCCAAGCGGGAUGCACCCGAAAACAUUAUAUCUAACCAGGGCAACUUGGAGGAAAAUGUUGAAGGAGUGUUUUGUGAGGAGGACUAAGUCGUAACAAGGUAGUCGUAGGAGAACCUGCGGCUGGAUCACCUCCUUUCU